Molecule: ribosomal RNA, 253 nt
Filed under: uncultured bacterium
Lineage: Bacteria
Description: partial 16S ribosomal RNA
Rfam family: Bacterial small subunit ribosomal RNA
Source: RNAcentral
UACGGAGGGUGCAAGCGUUAAUCGGAAUUACUGGGCGUAAAGGGUGUGUAGGCGGUUGUUUAAGUCUGUUGUGAAAUCCCCGGGCUCAACCUGGGAAUGGCAAUGGAUACUGGGCAGCUAGAGUGUGUCAGAGGAUGGUGGAAUUCCCGGUGUAGCGGUGAAAUGCGUAGAGAUGUGGAGGAACACCAAUGGCGAAGGCGGCUUUCUGGCCUGUUCUUGACGCUGAGGCGCGAAAGCUAGGGGAGCGAACGGG